This 397-nucleotide ribosomal RNA is filed under the name uncultured bacterium. RNAcentral's name for it is "bacterial SSU rRNA". It matches the Rfam family "Bacterial small subunit ribosomal RNA", at positions 521 to 916 of the family's 1533-position model. The record is from RNAcentral.
UAAUACAGAGGGUGCGAGCGUUGUUCGGAAUUAUUGGGCGUAAAGCGCUGGUAGGUGGCUUGAAAAGUCGCGUGUGAAAGCUUCCGGCUCAACCGGAAAAGUGCGCGCGAAACUGGCGAGCUUGAGUGCCGGAGAGGGUCGCGGAAUUCCCGGUGUAGAGGUGAAAUUCGUAGAUAUCGGGAGGAACACCAGAGGCGAAGGCGGCGACCUGGAAGGUAACUGACACUGAGCAGCGAAAGCGUGGGUAGCAAACAGGAUUAGAUACCCUGGUAGUCCACGCCGUAAACGAUGGGUGCUAGCUGUGGCGGGAGUUGACCCCUGCCGUGGCGACGCUAACGCAAUAAGCACCCCGCCUGGGGAGUACGGCCGCAAGGCUAAAACUUAAAGGAAUUGACGG